This 269-nucleotide ribosomal RNA is filed under the name uncultured prokaryote. Its description in RNAcentral is "partial 16S ribosomal RNA". It matches the Rfam family "Bacterial small subunit ribosomal RNA", at positions 524 to 792 of the family's 1533-position model. The record is from RNAcentral.
GACGGAGGAGGCAAGCGUUGUCCGGAAUUAUUGGGCGUAAAGAGCGCGUAGGUGGCUUUCCAAGUCAUAUGUGAAAACCUCAGGCUUAACUUGAGGACUGCAUGUGAAACUGGAAAACUUGAGUGCAGUAGAGGAAAGUGGAAUUCCUGGUGUAGCGGUGAAAUGCGCAGAUAUCAGGAAGAACACCAGUGGCGAAGGCGGCUUUCUGGGCUGCUACUGACACUGAGGCGCGAAAGCUAGGGGAGCGAACAGGAUUAGAUACCCCAGUA